RNAcentral lists this ribosomal RNA (730 nucleotides) under uncultured bacterium. Its description in RNAcentral is "bacterial SSU rRNA". It matches the Rfam family "Bacterial small subunit ribosomal RNA", at positions 771 to 1501 of the family's 1533-position model. The record is from RNAcentral.
AACAGGAUUAGAUACCCUGGUAGUCCAUGCCGUAAACGAUGAGUGCUAGGUGUUGGGGGGCUUCCACCCCUCGGUGCCGAAGUUAACGCAUUAAGCACUCCGCCUGGGGAGUACGGCCGCAAGGCUUAAACUCAAAGGAAUUGACGGGGACCCGCACAAGCGGUGGAGCAUGUGGUUUAAUUCGAAGCAACGCGAAGAACCUUACCAGCUCUUGACAUCUUCUGACAACUCUAGAGAUAGAGUGUUCCCUUCGGGGACAGAAUGACAGGUGGUGCAUGGUUGUCGUCAGCUCGUGUCGUGAGAUGUUGGGUUAAGUCCCGUAACGAGCGCAACCCUUGUUGCCAGUUGCCAGCAUUUAGUUGGGCACUCUGGCGAGACUGCCGGUGACAAACCGGAGGAAGGUGGGGAUGACGUCAAAUCAGCAUGCCCCUUAUGAGCUGGGCUACACACGUGCUACAAUGGAUGGUACAGCGAGUCGCUAAACCGCGAGGUCAAGCUAAUCUCCUAAAGCCAUUCUCAGUCCGGAUUGCAGGCUGCAACUCGCCUGCAUGAAGCCGGAAUCGCUAGUAAUCGUGGAUCAGAACGCCACGGUGAAUACGUUCCCGGGUCUUGUACACACCGCCCGUCACACCACGAGAGUUCGUAACACCCGAAGUCGGUCGAGCAACUUUAUAGAGCCAGCCGCCGAAGGUGGGAUGGAUGAUUGGGGUGAAGUCGUAACAAGGUAACC